AGCGAACGCUGGCGGCAGGCCUAACACAUGCAAGUCGAACGGAUCCUUCGGGAUUAGUGGCGGACGGGUGAGUAACACGUGGGAACGUGCCCUUUGGUUCGGAACAACUCAGGGAAACUUGAGCUAAUACCGGAUGUGCCCUUCGGGGGAAAGAUUUAUCGCCAUUGGAGCGGCCCGCGUCUGAUUAGCUAGUUGGUGAGGUAACGGCCCACCAAGGCGACGAUCAGUAGCUGGUCUGAGAGGAUGAUCAGCCACACUGGGACUGAGACACGGCCCAGACUCCUACGGGAGGCAGCAGUGGGGAAUCUUGCGCAAUGGGCGAAAGCCUGACGCAGCCAUGCCGCGUGAAUGAUGUAGGUCUUAGGAUUGUAAAAUUCUUUCAGCGGGGACGAUAAUGACGGUACCCGCAGAAGAAGCUCCGGCUAACUUCGUG
Molecule: ribosomal RNA, 433 nt
Filed under: uncultured bacterium
Lineage: Bacteria
Description: partial 16S ribosomal RNA
Rfam family: Bacterial small subunit ribosomal RNA
Source: RNAcentral